Molecule: ribosomal RNA, 384 nt
Filed under: uncultured eukaryote
Lineage: Eukaryota
Description: SSU rRNA
Rfam family: Eukaryotic small subunit ribosomal RNA
Source: RNAcentral
AGCUCCAAUAGCGUAUAUUAAAGUUGUUGCAGUUAAAAAGCUCGUAGUUGGAUUUCUGAUCGGAGUGACCAUGCCGGACUUGAUUGUCCGUGCAAUGUGUUGUCUUCAAUCAUCCUUGUGGAGAGCAUUUCUGGCAUUAACUUGUUGGAUUUGGGACCCGCAUCGUUUACUGUGAAAAAAUUAGAGUGUUCAAAGCAGGCAAUUGGCUUGAAUACAUUAGCAUGGAAUAAUAAGAUAGGACUUUGGUGCUAUUUUGUUGGUUUGCACACUAAGGUAAUGAUUAACAGAAUCAGUCGGGGAUAUUCGUAUGCAAAUGUCAGAGGUGAAAUUCUUGGAUUUUUUACAGACGAACUACUGCGAAAGCAUUUAUCAAGGAUGUUUUCA